GAGCACGUAGGUGGGUUUGUAAGUCAGAUGUGAAAGCCUUCUGUUCAAAGGAAGAACGGCAUCUGAAACUGCUAAUCUUGAGUGUAGGAGGGGAGAGUGGAACUUCUGGUGGAGCGGUGAAAUGCGUAGAUAUCAGAAGGAACGUCGGCGGCGAAAGCGACUCUCUGGCCUAUUACUGACACUGAGUGUGCGAAAGUUAGGGGAGCAAACGGGAUUAGAUACCCCGGUAGUCCUAACCGUAAACGAUGGGCACUAAGUAGAGGGAAUUACCAAUGUUCUCUCUGCCGUAGCUAACGCAUUAAGUGCCCCGCCUGGGGAGUACGGCCGCAAGGCUAAAACUCAAAAGAAUUGACGGGGGCUCGCACAAGCGGUGGAGCAUGUGGCUUAAUUCGAUGCAACGCGAAAAGCCUUACCGGGGUUUGACAUGGUAGAAGUAGGAGCCCGAAAGGGUAACCAACGGUAUCCAGUCCGUAACUAUUACAGGUGUUGCAUGGCUGUCGUCAGCUCGUGUCGUGAGACGUUGGGUUAAGUCCCCUAACGAGCGAAACCCUUAUUUUUUGUUACCAUCGGGUUAUGCCGGGUACUCUAGAAAGACUGCCGUCGUCAAGACGGAGGAAGGUGGGGAUGACGUCAAGUCAUCAUGGCCCUUAUACCCCCGGGCUGCACACGUGCUACAAUGGUCGGUACAAAAGGAAGCAAGACCGAGAGGUGAAGCGAAUCC
RNAcentral lists this ribosomal RNA (721 nucleotides) under uncultured anaerobic ammonium-oxidizing bacterium. Its description in RNAcentral is "bacterial SSU rRNA". It matches the Rfam family "Bacterial small subunit ribosomal RNA", at positions 565 to 1274 of the family's 1533-position model. The record is from RNAcentral.